This 92-nucleotide transfer RNA is filed under the name Variovorax sp. WDL1. RNAcentral describes it as "tRNA-Ser". It matches the Rfam family "tRNA". From Rfam's summary of the family: Transfer RNA (tRNA) molecules are approximately 80 nucleotides in length. Their secondary structure includes four short double-helical elements and three loops (D, anti-codon, and T loops). RNAcentral also lists the same sequence under 2 other names. The record is from RNAcentral. Lineage: Bacteria; Pseudomonadati; Pseudomonadota; Betaproteobacteria; Burkholderiales; Comamonadaceae.
GGAGAAGUGCCAGAGCGGUCGAAUGGCCCGCAUUGGAAAUGCGGUGGUCGCAGGGAUGCGGCACAGGGGUUCGAAUCCCCUUUUCUCCUCCA